AAAUUUGAAUUAAAAAGGUUAACAGGGACCAUUUGGUGGAUUUUAAAAUAUGACAAAAAAAAUUGGUUAAUUUCACCGAUAGAGAAUAAGAUUUUGGUGGUUUUCCCUUUAUUUUGUCAGGUUUCUAAACUCCACAAAAGUGACAGGAUUAUUUUUUUUAUAUUAGAUUUUAGAUUCCAAAGAGAUAAGUAAUAAACUAAUAAUAUUAAAUAUUAAUUGUUGUCGCUUGUAAAAAAUAAAUUGAUUUUAUCUCGCAUUUAUUUGAAGAAAGAUAUAGCAUUAACCUUAGUACCCUUUACCAAAACUUCGAAAACAAUAAUUAGGAAACACCCAACUUCUUAGCUAUUUUAGCUUUGAAGCCAUAAAACCAAUAAGCAAUAAACCAAGCCUGAGAACUGUUUAUCAUAAAAUUUGGGGCAAUUUAGUUCUAAUUUUACUUGAUAAGUUACCAAAAAGUUCAGAUACCCACUUAAUCAUUAUUUGUUAGUAUCAAAUCCUUUGGGACACUGUAUGGUGUUGUUUACCAAUCUUUCUCAAUUUUCAGACAAGUAAAAAUAUGUUUAGUCUCUAUAUUUUGAAGUUAGUACUUAUUUAGUCCCUGUAUUUUUUAAAAUAUCUCAUUUACUCCCUGCCGUUAAAUUGUCGACACUUUUGCCAUUACUUUUAAUUUCUUUUGGCUUAUUUUUAUAGUAUUACUCUCUCACAAUACCAUAUCUUU
This 718-nucleotide long non-coding RNA is filed under the name Citrus x clementina. RNAcentral's name for it is "Citrus clementina (C. clementina) long non-coding RNA (CCLE_LNC001519)". The record is from RNAcentral. Lineage: Eukaryota; Viridiplantae; Streptophyta; Magnoliopsida; Sapindales; Rutaceae.